Molecule: ribosomal RNA, 453 nt
Filed under: uncultured bacterium
Lineage: Bacteria
Description: partial 16S ribosomal RNA
Rfam family: Bacterial small subunit ribosomal RNA
Source: RNAcentral
AUGAACGCUGACAGAAUGCUUAACACAUGCAAGUCUACUUGAACUUCGGUUUGGGUGGCGGACGGGUGAGUAACGCGUAAAGAACUUGCCUCACAGUUAGGGACAACAUUUGGAAACGAAUGCUAAUACCUGAUAUUAUGAUUUUAGGGCAUCCUAGGAUUAUGAAAGCUAUAUGUGCUGUGAGAGAGCUUUGCGUCCCAUUAGCUAGUUGGAGAGGUAACGGCUCACCAAGGCGAUGAUGGGUAGCCGGCCUGAGAGGGUGAACGGCCACAAGGGGACUGAGACACGGCCCUUACUCCUACGGGAGGCAGCAGUGGGGAAUAUUGGACAAUGGACCAAAAGUCUGAUCCAGCAAUUCUGUGUGCACGAUGACGUUUUUCGGAAUGUAAAGUGCUUUCAGUUGGGAAGAAAAAAAUGACGGUACCAACAGAAGAAGUGACGGCUAAAUACGUG